GGCCUCGUACCUCAGCUGGUAGAGCGUCCACUUUGCAAAAAGUAUAGGCGGCGUGGGUUCUAAUCCCACCGAGGCAA
This 77-nucleotide transfer RNA is filed under the name Echinostoma caproni. It matches the Rfam family "tRNA". Rfam says of the family: Transfer RNA (tRNA) molecules are approximately 80 nucleotides in length. Their secondary structure includes four short double-helical elements and three loops (D, anti-codon, and T loops). The record is from Rfam by way of RNAcentral. Lineage: Eukaryota; Metazoa; Platyhelminthes; Trematoda; Plagiorchiida; Echinostomatidae.